CCUACGGGCGGCAGCAGUGAGGAAUAUUGGUCAAUGGACGAGAGUCUGAACCAGCCAAGUAGCGUGAAGGAUGACUGCCCUAUGGGUUGUAAACUUCUUUUAUAUGGGAAUAAAACGUUCCACGUGUGGGAUUUUGUAUGUACCAUAUGAAUAAGGAUCGGCUAACUCCGUGCCAGCAGCCGCGGUAAUACGGAGGAUCCGAGCGUUAUCCGGAUUUAUUGGGUUUAAAGGGAGCGUAGGUGGAUUGUUAAGUCAGUUGUGAAAGUUUGCGGCUCAGCCGUAAAAUUGCAGUUGAAACUGGCAGUCUUGAGUACAGUAGAGGUGGGCGGAAUUCGUGGUGUAGCGGUGAAAUGCUUAGAUAUCACGAAGAACUCCGAUUGCGAAGGCAGUUCACUGGACUGCAACUGACACUGAGGCUCGAAAGUGUGGGUAUCAAACAGGAUUAGAUACCCUUGUAGUC
This 460-nucleotide ribosomal RNA is filed under the name uncultured bacterium. Its description in RNAcentral is "partial 16S ribosomal RNA". It matches the Rfam family "Bacterial small subunit ribosomal RNA", at positions 338 to 795 of the family's 1533-position model. The record is from RNAcentral.